Non-coding RNA from Mycena rosella, 88 nucleotides. Lineage: Eukaryota; Fungi; Basidiomycota; Agaricomycetes; Agaricales; Mycenaceae. The record is from the annotation of a GenBank genome assembly.
GGCCCGGUAGCGGAUGGUCCGCGCCUGCAUUCCAUAUUUUGGGCAUUUCGUUCUGCAGGGGUCGCUCGUUCGAUUCGAGCCCGGGCCU